This 460-nucleotide ribosomal RNA is filed under the name uncultured bacterium. RNAcentral's name for it is "partial 16S ribosomal RNA". It matches the Rfam family "Bacterial small subunit ribosomal RNA", at positions 338 to 795 of the family's 1533-position model. The record is from RNAcentral.
CCUACGGGAGACAGCAGUGAGGAAUAUUGGUCAAUGGACGAGAGUCUGAACCAGCCAAGUAGCGUGAAGGAUGACUGCCCUAUGGGUUGUAAACUUCUUUUAUAUGGGAAUAAAAUGUUCCACGUGUGGGAUUUUGUAUGUCCCAUAUGAAUAAGGAUCGGCUAACUCCGUGCCAGCAGCCGCGGUAAUACGGAGGAUCCGAGCGUUAUCCGGAUUUAUUGGGUUUAAAGGGUGCGUAGGUGGAUUGUUAAGUCAGUUGUGAAAGUUUGCGGCUCAACCGUAAAAUUGCAGUUGAAACUGGCAGUCUUGAGUACAGUAGAGGUGGGCGGAAUUCGUGGUGUAGCGGUGAAAUGCUUAGAUAUCACGAAGAACUCCGAUUGCGAAGGCAGUUCACUGGACUGCAACUGACACUGAGGCUCGAAAGUGUGGGUAUCAAACAGGAUUAGAUACCCUGGUAGUC